Molecule: long non-coding RNA, 352 nt
Organism: Suricata suricatta (meerkat)
Lineage: Eukaryota; Metazoa; Chordata; Mammalia; Carnivora; Herpestidae
Exons: 3
Source: RefSeq, a predicted model, not a curated record
ACCAAAGAAAUAUCAGACAGAAGAUGAGAGAAUGUAAAUUUACUCAAUGAAUAUUGCUACCAAAGGCUCUAUUUCAUGCCUUCCACAGGCUAAACCUACCCAGCAUCAUGAAAGCAAGGCAGCCUGGUGUGGCAAACCUUGGAGCUCAGGCUCUGGGAGCACAGAGAAGGAUUUCCAUAAAGCCAAAGAAACAUUUUCUAGCAGUCAGAGCGGACCAGCAGUGAAAAGGCUGAAUUCUUUUUCACCCAAAUUAUUUCAGAAAGAAUGAGAUUGCUGCCUGCCAGUAACAUUUGAGAAGAGAGUAACUCCAGACCAUCUCUGAAAUCCCAUCCAACUUCAAUGUCAUGUGGCU